This 482-nucleotide ribosomal RNA is filed under the name uncultured bacterium. Its description in RNAcentral is "partial 16S ribosomal RNA". It matches the Rfam family "Bacterial small subunit ribosomal RNA", at positions 30 to 507 of the family's 1533-position model. The record is from RNAcentral.
AUUGAACGCUGGCGGCAUGCUUUACACAUGCAAGUCGAACGGUAACAGGCCGCAAGGUGCUGACGAGUGGCGAACGGGUGAGUAAUGCAUCGGAACGUGCCCAGUCGUGGGGGAUAACUACUCGAAAGAGUAGCUAAUACUGCAUACGAUCUAUGGAUGAAAGCGGGGGACCGUAAGGCCUCGCGCGAUUGGAGCGGCCGAUGUCAGAUUAGGUAGUUGGUGGGGUAAAGGCUCACCAAGCCAACGAUCUGUAGCUGGUCUGAGAGGACAACCAGCCACACUGGGACUGAGACACGGCCCAGACUCCUACGGGAGGCAGCAGUGGGGAAUUUUGGACAAUGGGCGCAAGCCUGAUCCAGCAAUGCCGCGUGCAGGAAGAAGGCCUUCGGGUUGUAAACUGCUUUUGUACGGAACGAAACGGCUCUGGUUAAUACCCGGGGCUAAUGACGGUACCGUAAGAAUAAGCACCGGCUAACUACGUG